AUUGAACGCUGGCGGCAGGCCUAACACAUGCAAGUCGAGCGGAUGACGGGAGCUUGCUCCUGGAUUCAGCGGCGGACGGGUGAGUAAUGCCUAGGAAUCUGCCUGGUAGUGGGGGACAACGUUUCUAAAGGAACGCUAAUACCGCAUACGUCCUACGGGAGAAAGCAGGGGACCUUCGGGCCUUGCGCUAUCAGAUGAGCCUAGGUCGGAUUAGCUUGUUGGUGAGGUAAUGGCUCACCAAGGCGACGAUCCGUAACUGGUCUGAGAGGAUGAUCAGUCACACUGGAACUGAGACACGGUCCAGACUCCUACGGGAGGCAGCAGUGGGGAAUAUUGGACAAUGGGCGAAAGCCUGAUCCAGCCAUGCCGCGUGUGUGAAGAAGGUCUUCGGAUUGUAAAGCACUUUAAGUUGGGAGGAAGGGUUGUAGAUUAAUACUCUGCAAUUUUGACGUUACCGACAGAAUAAGCACCGGCUAACUCUGUGCCAGCAGCCGCGGUAA
Molecule: ribosomal RNA, 500 nt
Filed under: uncultured bacterium
Lineage: Bacteria
Description: partial 16S ribosomal RNA
Rfam family: Bacterial small subunit ribosomal RNA
Source: RNAcentral